Molecule: transfer RNA, 88 nt
Filed under: Candidatus Nitrotoga sp.
Lineage: Bacteria; Pseudomonadati; Pseudomonadota; Betaproteobacteria; Nitrosomonadales; Gallionellaceae
Description: tRNA-Ser
Rfam family: tRNA
About the family: Transfer RNA (tRNA) molecules are approximately 80 nucleotides in length.
Source: RNAcentral
GGAGAGGUGGCAGAGUGGUCGAUCGCGAUAGUCUUGAAAACUAUUGAGCAGCAAUGCUCCGUGGGUUCGAAUCCCACCCUCUCCGCCA